This 2067-nucleotide long non-coding RNA is filed under the name Zea mays. RNAcentral's name for it is "long non-coding RNA (ZMAY_LNC002366)". The record is from RNAcentral. Lineage: Eukaryota; Viridiplantae; Streptophyta; Magnoliopsida; Poales; Poaceae.
GUUGUGGUGCACUACAAGGGAUUCUUAAAGAGGCUCAUUCUCUCUUUGCAAUGUUUCAUGGACCAAUCCGAACUUUGCUUCACAAACAACCCAGUGCAGAGCUUGCUCGUGGUCACCUCCGCACAUUUCUUACAGAUUAUUUGAGCGGUGGGUCUAGUAAAAUUUACUUGUGGUUGUCAUGAACAUGUUUGAACAAGUGCUGGAGACAUGGAUGACUUCCCGGUUUGAAUAGGACUACAUUAUGGGUCAACAUUGAGCCCUUAAUUUUUUGCCUUGGUGAUGGAUGAUGUCACAAGGGACAUNNNNNNNNNNNNNNNNNNNNNNNNNNNNNNNNNNNNNNNNNNNNNNNNNNNNNNNNNNNNNNNNNNNNNNNNNNNNNNNNNNNNNNNNNNNNNNNNNNNNAUUGCUCGAGUAUGCAAGUUUGGGUGAAUCGAUUUUGUUGCAUGUGAUCCAGCUUAGGUUUUUUCAAGCAAGAACAAUUCUGGACUUGAUUAGUUUUUUUGGCAGCGGGCCAAUGGCGUUGGUUCCUAAGUUCACCUGUAUGACAGUGGCAGAUCUAGAAACAUCUAGCCUUUUAAUAGUAAUAACAUUUGUAAUUUUGUAUAGUGGUUUAUUUUCACAUAGUGUUCACAGUUCACAUAUUCAUGUAGAUCUCUAGACAACUGCAAAUACUAAUGGAUGAUUACUCAGACUGACAUGGGGGUUAACAUCAGUAAUUGGGGCCCUUCAUAAGCAACAUCUCUUUUGUGGUCACAUUAUGACUUCCGUUUGCUCUUUGAUAGUGUAUUCUCCCCAAAUUGCCAUCCAAGUAUUUCCUGACUCUAUACUUUUGAUAAUUCAUUUAUUGCCUAAUAUUGCUGGGUUCCACAUCUUAUUUCUCAAUGUUAGUUAUAUGCAGAAUAUUUUCCCCAGAAGAGGAUUGCGAGGUUAUAGAAUCAGAGAAACACUCCCAUGUUUUUUACCAAGCCGAAACGGAUAUUUGGAUGGUUCUGGUAAUGGCUUUUCACUACUUCAAUAACUUAAGAAGUAAAAAGGGCAAAGAUAGCCCUGGUAUCAUACACCCCACACACCUAGCCCUUACAAUAUAGUCUUCUUGAAGUACUAUGUCACUACUUAAUACUAUGUCAAUUUAUCUCCGGAUAGCACUGAAACUUUGGUUCAGAAGUUCUACAUGUAUUUAAUUUGUGUUGAUUAGUUCUAGUUCACUGUUAAUGUAUGAUGUUUUAUUGCCAGCUUGUCAACGAGUAUGCUUUUUGAUAGCAUUGCUCUUAUUAUCUCCAUGUAUAAAUUGUUUACCUGAUAGUUGAUAGAGAGAACACUACUCCCUGUAUAUUGCAUUGUCCUUUCAUACAACAGUGUCAAUGUGAUUUAGGGCAUGUUUGGUAGAGCUCCUGCUCUGGCUCCGGCUACUAGUCAUGCUCCAUCUGCUCCUCUGCUGAAGCAGAAGCAGUUUGGCUUCAUUUUGGCCAAGUCGAAUUCUCCUGAAUCUUGAAAGAUGGUUGUUCUGAAAUUUUCUGUACUCUGUAAUACCCUUUCCUGUUUGACCUAAGCUGUAUAGAGUUAUAUGUCGAUAUUAGAUCUUUUCCUUAAUGUAUUUUGGACAACUACAUGUUUACAACAUCUUCUGAAAUAGCACGAGUCUCAUUGUCGAGAUUUGAUCUUUCCUUAGGGAACUAGUACAUCAUUUCAUGAGCUUGCUAUUUCAAAUUUACAGCAUCUUUACAGUAAUAUAAAUUUAAUGUGCAUUGUAUUAUACUAAUACUGAUGAAUGUUAGGACUCAAUUUGAUAUUGUAGGUUGUGGAAAAAAACAAGGAAAAUGAAUUGACUUGGCGUUGUGGUGCACUACAAGGGAUUCUUAAAGAGGCUCAUUCUCUCUUUGCAAUGUUUCAUGGACCAAUCCGAACUUUGCUUCACAAACAACCCAGUGCAGAGCUUGCUCGUGGUCACCUCCGCACAUUUCUUACAGAUUAUUUGAGCGGUGGGUCUAGUAAAAUUUACUUGUGGUUGUCAUGAACAUGUUUGAACAAGUGCUGGAGACAUGGAUGACUUCCCGGUUUGAAUAGGAC